RNAcentral lists this ribosomal RNA (486 nucleotides) under uncultured bacterium. RNAcentral's name for it is "bacterial SSU rRNA". It matches the Rfam family "Bacterial small subunit ribosomal RNA", at positions 28 to 507 of the family's 1533-position model. The record is from RNAcentral.
GAUGAACGCUAGCGGGAGGCUUAACACAUGCAAGUCGAGGGGCAUCACGGGGUAGCAAUACUCUGGUGGCGACCGGCGCACGGGUGAGUAACACGUAUGCAACCUGCCUCGUACAGGGGGAUAACCCGGAGAAAUUCGGACUAAUAUCCCAUAAUGAUAUUGAAAGGCAUCUUUUAAUAUUUAAAGCUCAGGCGGUACGGGAUGGGCAUGCGGAACAUUAGCUGGUUGGCAGGGUAACGGCCUACCAAGGCUAUGAUGUUUAGGGGACCUGAGAGGGUGAUCCCCCACACUGGUACUGAGACACGGACCAGACUCCUACGGGAGGCAGCAGUGAGGAAUAUUGGUCAAUGGGCGCAAGCCUGAACCAGCCAUCCCGCGUGAAGGAAGAAGGCGCUAUGCGUCGUAAACUUCUUUUCCAGGGGAAUAAAAUUUUGUACGUGUACGGAAUUGAAGGUACCCUGGGAAUAAGCAUCGGCUAACUCCGUG